Molecule: ribosomal RNA, 433 nt
Filed under: uncultured bacterium
Lineage: Bacteria
Description: partial 16S ribosomal RNA
Rfam family: Bacterial small subunit ribosomal RNA
Source: RNAcentral
AAUGAACGCUGGCGGCAUGCCUAACACAUGCAAGUCGAACGAAGGCUUCGGCCUUAGUGGCGCACGGGUGCGUAACGCGUGGGAAUCUGCCCAUGGGUUCGGAAGAACAGGUAGAAAUGACUGCUAAUACCGGAGGAUAUCGUAAGACCAAAGAUUUAGCGCCCAAGGAUGAGCCCGCGUAGGAUUAGCUAGUUGGUGGGGUAAAGGCCUACCAAGGCGACGAUCCUUAGCUGGUCUGAGAGGAUGAUCAGCCACACUGGGACUGAGACACGGCCCAGACUCCUACGGGAGGCAGCAGUGGGGAAUAUUGGACAGUGGGCGAAGGCCUGAUCCAGCAAUGCCGGGUGAGUGAUGAAGGCCUUAGGGUUGUAAAGCUCUUUUACCCGGGAUGAUAAUGACAGUACCGGGAGAAUAAGCUCCGGCUAACUUCGUG